Molecule: transfer RNA, 91 nt
Filed under: Bacillota bacterium
Lineage: Bacteria; Bacillati; Bacillota
Also listed under: 1 other name
Description: tRNA-Ser
Rfam family: tRNA
About the family: Transfer RNA (tRNA) molecules are approximately 80 nucleotides in length. Their secondary structure includes four short double-helical elements and three loops (D, anti-codon, and T loops).
Source: RNAcentral
GGAGAGAUGGUCGAGCUGGUUUAAGGCACCGGUCUUGAAAACCGGCGUAGGUGCAAGCCUACCGUGAGUUCGAAUCUCACUCUCUCCGCCA